This 76-nucleotide transfer RNA is filed under the name Burkholderiales bacterium. RNAcentral's name for it is "tRNA-Thr". It matches the Rfam family "tRNA". From Rfam's summary of the family: Transfer RNA (tRNA) molecules are approximately 80 nucleotides in length. Their secondary structure includes four short double-helical elements and three loops (D, anti-codon, and T loops). Further hydrogen bonds mediate the characteristic L-shaped molecular structure. tRNAs have two regions of fundamental functional importance: the anti-codon, which is responsible for specific mRNA codon recognition, and the 3' end, to which the tRNAs corresponding amino acid is attached (by aminoacyl-tRNA synthetases). tRNAs cope with the degeneracy of the genetic code in two manners: having more than one tRNA (with a specific anti-codon) for a particular amino acid; and 'wobble' base-pairing, i.e. permitting non-standard base-pairing at the 3rd anti-codon position. Lineage: Bacteria; Pseudomonadati; Pseudomonadota; Betaproteobacteria; Burkholderiales. The record is from RNAcentral.
GCCGGUGUAGCUCAGUUGGUAGAGCAGCGCAUUCGUAAUGCGAAGGUCGGCGGUUCGACUCCGUCCACCGGCACCA